Long non-coding RNA from Helicoverpa zea (corn earworm), 423 nucleotides. RefSeq lists it as uncharacterized. The transcript has 3 exons. Lineage: Eukaryota; Metazoa; Arthropoda; Insecta; Lepidoptera; Noctuidae. The record is from RefSeq and is a predicted model, not a curated record.
UGGAGAAGAAUAUGGACAGCACUGUCUUGGCCAUCAGGGUACGCGCGCUCGAUGUCUGUACCAACUCCACCAGCGGCAUGAACGCGUCCUACGAAUUUGUAUAAGUGCAGUGGACCACCUCAAAGAGGUGACUGGAGGCCAGAUACAGGGAGCGGUACAUAUGGCGCUGAACCGGACCGAGUGGAGAAGAUUGACAUACAGUCAUGAUCCUCAGCAUUGAGGGAACAACUAGAAAGAGAGAUAGUAACCCUCAUCAAAAUCAUCUAACUGUUCCAGUCUGUGCUUAACCUUUUCAUUUAAAUUUGAAACCUGUCUUAUAAGAGCUGAAAAAGAACUAACUUAAAGUAAAAAAAAAACAAAAGAAAAAAAAGAAAUUUUGAUUAGUUCCAUUAUUCAAUAAAGUAGUUUCAUAUUCUUAUUAAA